Molecule: ribosomal RNA, 195 nt
Filed under: uncultured Anoxybacillus sp.
Lineage: Bacteria; Bacillati; Bacillota; Bacilli; Caryophanales; Anoxybacillaceae
Description: partial 16S ribosomal RNA
Rfam family: Bacterial small subunit ribosomal RNA
Source: RNAcentral
UACAUCACUGCCCUUACUGACCUGGGCUACACACGUGCUACAAUGGGCGGUACAAAGGGUCGCGAACCCGCGAGGGGGAGCCAAUCCCAAAAAGCCGCUCUCAGUUCGGAUUGCAGGCUGCAACUCGCCUGCAUGAAGCCGGAAUCGCUAGUAAUCGCGGAUCAGCAUGCCGCGGUGAAUACGUUCCCGGGCCUU